RNAcentral lists this ribosomal RNA (253 nucleotides) under uncultured bacterium. Its description in RNAcentral is "partial 16S ribosomal RNA". It matches the Rfam family "Bacterial small subunit ribosomal RNA", at positions 524 to 776 of the family's 1533-position model. The record is from RNAcentral.
UACAGAGGGGGCAAGCGUUGUUCGGAAUUACUGGGCGUAAAGGGCGCGUAGGCGGCCUGUUAAGUCGAACGUGAAAUCCCCGGGCUCAACCCGGGAACUGCGUCCGAUACUGGCAGGCUUGAAUCCGGGAGAGGGAUGCGGAAUUCCAGGUGUAGCGGUGAAAUGCGUAGAUAUCGGGAGGAACACCUGUGGCGAAAGCGGCGCACUGGACCAUAACUGACGCUGAGGCGCGAAAGCUAGGGGAGCAAACAGG